AUUGAACGCUGGCGGCAGGCCUAACACAUGCAAGUCGAGCGGAUGAGGGGAGCUUGCUCCUGGAUUCAGCGGCGGACGGGUGAGUAAUGCCUAGGAAUCUGCCUGGUAGUGGGGGAUAACGUCCGCAAACGGGCGCUACUACCGCAUACGUCCUGCGGGAGCAAGUGGGGGAUCUUCGGACCUCACGCUCUCAGAUGAGCCUAGGCCGGAUUAGCUAGUUGGUGGGGUAAAGGCCUACCAAGGCGACGAUCCGUAACUGGUCUGAGAGGAUGAUCAGUCACAUUGGAACUGAGACACGGACCAGACUCCUACGGGAGGGAGCAGUGGGGAAUAGGGGACAAUGGGCGAAAGCCUGAUCCAGCGAUGCCGCGUGUGUGAAGGAGGUCUUCGGAUUGUAAAGCACGUUAAGUUGGGAGGAAGGGCAGUAAGUUAAUACCUAGCUGUAGUGACGGUACCAGCAGAAGAAGCACCGGCUAACUACGUG
This 484-nucleotide ribosomal RNA is filed under the name uncultured bacterium. RNAcentral describes it as "partial 16S ribosomal RNA". It matches the Rfam family "Bacterial small subunit ribosomal RNA", at positions 29 to 507 of the family's 1533-position model. The record is from RNAcentral.